AGAGUUUGAUCAUGGCUCAGGAUGAACGCUAGCGGCAGGCCUAACACAUGCAAGUCGAGGGGCAGCGCGGGGUAGCAAUACCCUGGCGGCGACCGGCGCACGGGUGCGUAACGCGUAUACAACCUACCCUAAACAGGGGGAUAACGGGGGGAAACCUCCACUAAUACCCCAUAUUGUCGAGCCAUCGCCUGGUGGUUCGUCGAAAGCUUCGGCGGUUCUGGAUGGGUAUGCGUGGCAUUAGGUAGUUGGCGGGGCAACGGCCCACCAAGCCCACGAUGCCUAGGGGAGCUGAGAGGCUAAUCCCCCACACUGGUACUGAGACACGGACCAGACUCCUACGGGAGGCAGCAGUGAGGAAUAUUGGUCAAUGGAGGGAACUCUGAACCAGCCAUGCCGCGUGAGGGAAGAAGGCCCUAUGGGUUGUAAACCUCUUUUGACGGGGGUCAAUAAGGGUGCUGCGGCAUCCGAUGAGCGUACUCGUCGAAUAAGCAUCGGCUAACUCCGUGCCAGCAGCCGCGGUAAUACGGAGGAUGCAAGCGUUAUCCGGAUUUAUUGGGUUUAAAGGGUGCGCAGGCGGCGCGCUAAGUCAGCGGUGAAAUGUCUCGGCUCAACUCGGGAGCUGCUCGUUGAUACUGGCGUGCUAGAGUGUGAACGGCGCUCGCGGAAUGUGUGAUGUAGCGGUGAMAUGCAUAGAUAUCACACAGAACACCUGAUCGCGAAGGCAGCCGGCGAGGACACUACUGACGCUCAGGCACGAAAGCGUGGGGAUCAAACAGGGAUUAGAUACYCUGGUAGUYCACGCAGUAAACGAUGAGGACUUGUUGUCGGCGAUACAUUGUCGGUGACAAAGCGAAAGCGAUAAGUCCUCCACCUGGGGAGUACGAUCGCAAGGUUGAAACUCAAAGGAAUUGACGGGGGCCCGCACAAGCGGAGGAGCAUGUGGUUUAAUUCGAUGAUACGCGAGGAACCUUACCUGGACCCAAAUGUUGUUGGACCGCCCCAGAGAUGGGGUUUCCCUUCGGGGCCGACAGCACGGUGCUGCAUGGUUGUCGUCAGCUCGUGCCGUGAGGUGUCAGGUUAAGUCCUAUAACGAGCGCAACCCCUACGUCCAGUUGCCAGCGGGUAAGGCCGGGGACUCUGGAGGGACUGCUCGUUCACACGAGAGGAAGGUGGGGAUGACGUCAAGUCAGUAUGGCCCUUACGCCUGGGGCCGCACACGUGCUACAAUGGCCGGUACAGAGGGACGCGAGACCGCGAGGUGGAGCAAACCCCAGAGAGCCGGCCCCAGUUCGGAUUGGAGUCUGCAACCCGACUCCAUGAAGUUGGAUUUGCUAGUAACGGCGCAUCAGCAGUUGGUGCCGUGAAUACGUUCCCGGGCCUUGUACACACCGCCCGUCACAUCAUGAAAGCCGUCUGCACCCGAAGCCGGUGGCCCAUCCGCAAGGGGGGAGCCGUCUAAGGUGUGGGUGGUGAUUGGGAUGAAGUCGUAACAAGGUAGCCGUA
This 1503-nucleotide ribosomal RNA is filed under the name uncultured rumen bacterium. RNAcentral describes it as "bacterial SSU rRNA". It matches the Rfam family "Bacterial small subunit ribosomal RNA". The record is from RNAcentral.